RNAcentral lists this small nuclear RNA (107 nucleotides) under Cavia aperea (Brazilian guinea pig). The record is from RNAcentral. Lineage: Eukaryota; Metazoa; Chordata; Mammalia; Rodentia; Caviidae.
GUGCUUGCUUUGGCAGCACAUAUACUACAAUUGGAAUGAUACAGAGAAGAUUAGCAUUGCCCCUGCACAAGGAUGACACACAAAUUUGUGAAGCAUUCCCUAUUUCU